This 238-nucleotide ribosomal RNA is filed under the name uncultured bacterium. RNAcentral's name for it is "partial 16S ribosomal RNA". It matches the Rfam family "Bacterial small subunit ribosomal RNA", at positions 524 to 762 of the family's 1533-position model. The record is from RNAcentral.
UACGUAGGGUGCAAGCGUUAAUCGGAAUACUGGGCGUAAAGCGUGCGCAGGCGGUGAUGUAAGACAGAUGUGAAAUCCCCGGGCUCAACCUGGGAACUGCAUUUGUGACUGCAUCGCUGGAGUGCGGCAGAGGGGGAUGGAAUUCCGCGUGUAGCAGUGAAAUGCGUAGAUAUGCGGAGGAACACCGAUGGCGAAGGCAAUCCCCUGGGCCUGCACUGACGCUCAUGCACGAAAGCGU